GGCAAUGCCCGCAAGGGUGACCCAGCAACGCCGCGUGGAGGAUGAAUGUCGUAAGAUUGUAAACUCCUGUUAGAGGGGAAGAAUAGUACCGGUUGGACCGGUAUAUGACUGUACCCUCAGAGAAAGCCCCGGCUAACUACGUGCCAGCAGCCGCGGUAAUACGUAGGGGGCAAGCGUUGUCCGGAUUUACUGGGUGUAAGGGGCGCGCAGGCGGGAUAAAAAGUCAGUGGUGAAAUCCUACAGCUUAACUGUAGAACUGCCUUUGAUACUUUUAUUCUUGAGUUCGGGAGAGAGAGACGGAAUUCCAGGUGUAGUGGUGAAAUACGUAGAUAUCUGGAAGAACACCAGUUGCGAAGGCGGUCUCUUGGUCCGACACUGACGCUGAGGCGCGAAAGCGUGGGGAGCAAACA
This 410-nucleotide ribosomal RNA is filed under the name uncultured bacterium. Its description in RNAcentral is "bacterial SSU rRNA". It matches the Rfam family "Bacterial small subunit ribosomal RNA", at positions 367 to 774 of the family's 1533-position model. The record is from RNAcentral.